GUUGGUUUCUAAGAUUGACGUAAUGAUUAAUAGGGAUAGUUGGGGGGCAUUAGUAUUCAAUUGUCAGAGGUGAAAUUCUUGGAUUUAUUGAAGACUAACUAUUGCGAAAGCAUUUGCCAAGGAUGUUUUCAUUAAUCAAGAACGAAAGUUAGGGGAUCGAAGACGAUCAGAUACCGUCGUAGUCUUAACCAUAAACUAUGCCGACUAGGGAUCGGGCGGUGG
Molecule: ribosomal RNA, 222 nt
Filed under: uncultured Glomus
Lineage: Eukaryota; Fungi; Glomeromycota; Glomeromycetes; Glomerales; Glomeraceae
Description: partial small subunit ribosomal RNA
Rfam family: Eukaryotic small subunit ribosomal RNA
Source: RNAcentral